AGAGUUUGAUUCUGGCUCAGGAUGAACGCUGGCGGCGUGCCUAACACAUGCAAGUCGAGCGGACCAAUGCUCAUUUCAGCUUUGCUGAUUUGAGCAACGGUUAGCGGCGGACGGGUGAGUAACGCGUGGGCAACCUGCCCUGUGCAGGGGGAUAACACAGCGAAAGCUGUGCUAAUACCCCAUAAGACUACGCUAUCGCAUGAUAGAGUAGUCAAAGCUUUAGCGGCACAGGAUGGGCCCGCGUCUGAUUAGCUAGUUGGUGGGGUAACGGCCUACCAAGGCGACGAUCAGUAGCCGACCUGAGAGGGUGAUCGGCCACACUGGAACUGAGACACGGUCCAGACUCCUACGGGAGGCAGCAGUGGGGAAUAUUGCACAAUGGGGGAAACCCUGAUGCAGCAACGCCGCGUGAGCGAAGAAGGCCUUCGGGUCGUAAAGCUCUGUCCUAAGGGAAGAAGUAUGACGGUACCUUAGGAGGAAGCCCCGGCUAACUACGUGCCAGCAGCCGCGGUAAUACGUAGGGGGCGAGCGUUAUCCGGAAUCACUGGGCGUAAAGGGUGCGUAGGCGGCCGAGUAAGCCAGAGGUGAAAGGCUACGGCUUAACCGUAGUAAGCCUUUGGAAUUACUUGGCUUGAGUGCAGGAGAGGAGAGUGGAAUUCCUAGUGUAGCGGUGAAAUGCGUAGAUAUUAGGAGGAACACCAGUGGCGAAGGCGACUCUCUGGACUGUAACUGACGCUGAGGCACGAAAGCGUGGG
Molecule: ribosomal RNA, 755 nt
Filed under: uncultured bacterium
Lineage: Bacteria
Description: bacterial SSU rRNA
Rfam family: Bacterial small subunit ribosomal RNA
Source: RNAcentral